RNAcentral lists this non-coding RNA (1109 nucleotides) under Talaromyces marneffei ATCC 18224. Its description in RNAcentral is "Penicillium marneffei ATCC 18224 Bacterial small subunit ribosomal RNA". It matches the Rfam family "Bacterial small subunit ribosomal RNA", at positions 234 to 1438 of the family's 1533-position model. Lineage: Eukaryota; Fungi; Ascomycota; Eurotiomycetes; Eurotiales; Trichocomaceae. The record is from Rfam by way of RNAcentral.
UCUCGGUGAAGUAGUAGAAGAGGUAAUGUCUUUUUCUAGCUAACACUCGUAGUCGUGACUGAGAGGUCGAUCGACCACAUUGGGUCUGAAAAACCCCAAUGCGUAUUAGUACAGCAGUGAGGGAUAUUGGUCAAUGGUCUAACGACUGAACCAGUAACUUGGAAGAAUGUAUGUAUUAUAAUUAAUACAAUAACGAUUAAUUCGUAUAAAAUUCUAAAUAGGAUAAUGAUAAUGACAAUUUCCUAUUUAUAAGUCUUGACCAAAUUACGUGCCAGCAGUCGCGGUAAUACGUAGAAGACUAGUGUUAGUCAUCUUUAUUAGGUUUAAAGGGUACCUAGACGGUAAAUAACACUUAAAUAGAGUAUUUAUUUACUAGAGUUUUAUAAGAGAAGGAAGAACUUCUGGAGUAGUGAUAAAAUAUGUUGAUACCAGAGGGACUGGUAACGGCGAAGGCAUCCUUCUAUGUAAAAACUGACGUUGAGGGACGAAGGCUUGGGUAGCAAUAAGGAUUAGAUACCCUAGUAGUCCAAGCAGAAAAUGAUGAAUGUCAUAGACUAGAUAAAAAUUUAGUCUAUAAAUGAAAGUGUAAGCAUUCCACCUCAAGAGUACUAUGGCAACAUAUAAACUGAAAUCAUUAGACCGUUUCUGAAACCAGUAGUGAAGUAUGUUAUUUAAUUCGAUAAUCCGCGAAUAACCUUACCACAAUUUGAAUAUAUUAAGUUAUUACAAGCGCUGCACGGCUGUCUUUAGUUAAUGUCGUGAGAUCUGGUUAACUCCUAAAAUUAACGAAAACCCUCAUUUUAUUUGUAUAUAUAAAGUGGUUCUCCAGUAUAGUGGAAAGAUAAAAGGGAUUAAGACAAGUCAUCAUGGCCUAAAUAUUGUGGGCUAUAGACGUGCCACAUAUGCCUCUACAAAGGGAUGCUAUAUUGCGAAAUGGAGCUAAUCCCCAAAAUUGGAUAUAAUAUGGAUUGUUGUCUGUAAUUCGACAGCAUGAAUAAGGAAUUACUAGUAAUCGUGAAUCACCAUCGUCACGGUGAAUCUAAUCUCAGCUAGGUACUAACCACUCGUCAGGCGCUGAAAGGAGUAUGUGCAAUAAGUUUGGUUUGUUU